GACGAACGCUGGCGGCGUGCUUAACACAUGCAAGUCGAACGGAAAGGCCCUGCUUUUGUGGGGUGCUCGAGUGGCGAACGGGUGAGUAACACGUGAGUAACCUGCCCUUGACUUUGGGGUAACUUCAGGAAACUGGGGCUAAUACCGGAUAGGAGCUCCUGCUGCAUGGUGGGGGUUGGAAAGUUUCGGCGGUUGUGGAUGGACUCGCGGCUUAUCAGCUUGUUGGUGGGGUAGUGGCUUACCAAGGCUUUGACGGGUAGCCGGCCUGAGAGGGUGACCGGGCACAUUGGGACUGAGAUACGGCCCAGACUCCUACGGGAGGAAGCAGUGGGGAAUAUUGCACAAUGGGCGGAAGCCUGAUGCGGCAACGCCGCGUGCGGGAUGACGGCCUUCGGGUUGUAAACCGCUUUCGCCUGUGACGAAGCGUGAGUGACGGUAAUGGGUAAAGAAGCACCGGCUAACUACGUG
This 468-nucleotide ribosomal RNA is filed under the name uncultured bacterium. RNAcentral describes it as "partial 16S ribosomal RNA". It matches the Rfam family "Bacterial small subunit ribosomal RNA", at positions 28 to 507 of the family's 1533-position model. The record is from RNAcentral.